AAUCCAAGAAUUUCACCUCCAACACCGCAAUACGAAUGCCCCCGUCUGUCCCUCUUAAUCAUUACCUCAAGUUCCGAAAACCAACAAAAUAGAACCGAGGUCCUAUUCCAUUAUUCCAUGCACCAUUAUUCGGGCGGAACGCGCCUGCUUGGAACACUCUAAUUUUUUCAAAGUAAACGUCCUGGCCGCCGCCGGCGGACAGUGAAGGCCACCGACGGGCGUCCAGAGGGUGAGAGACCGGGAAAGACGCCUGCCGAUCCGCAUCCCCGUGAAGGGACCGACCCAAUCAGACGCCGUCGAGCAGUAAACCGCCGCUAGGCGGACCGCUCGCCCGGAUCCGAGAUCCAACUACGAGCUUUUUAACUGCAACAACUUUAAUAUACGCUAUUGGAGCUGGAAU
RNAcentral lists this unclassified non-coding RNA (400 nucleotides) under uncultured Ascomycota. RNAcentral's name for it is "sequence contains ITS1". Lineage: Eukaryota; Fungi; Ascomycota. The record is from RNAcentral.